Non-coding RNA from Kalmusia sp. IMI 367209, 95 nucleotides. The record is from the annotation of a GenBank genome assembly. NCBI's taxonomy places the organism in Eukaryota, Fungi, Ascomycota, Dothideomycetes, Pleosporales, Didymosphaeriaceae.
GGCUCGGUGGUGUAGUUGGUUAUCACGUCAGUCUAACAACCCCUCAAAGGUCAUUAGUGCACUGAAGGUCCCGAGUUCAAACCUCGGCUGAGUCA